This 465-nucleotide ribosomal RNA is filed under the name uncultured bacterium. RNAcentral describes it as "partial 16S ribosomal RNA". It matches the Rfam family "Bacterial small subunit ribosomal RNA", at positions 28 to 507 of the family's 1533-position model. The record is from RNAcentral.
GACGAACGCUGGCGGCGUGCUUAACACAUGCAAGUCGAACGGAAAGGCCCUGCUUGCAGGGUACUCGAGUGGCGAACGGGUGAGUAACACGUGGGUGAUCGGCCCUGCACUUCGGGAUAAGCCUGGGAAACUGGGUCUAAUACCGGAUAGGAGCCAUUUUUAGUGUGAUGGUUGGAAAGUUUUUUCGGUGUAGGAUGAGCUCGCGGCCUAUCAGCUUGUUGGUGGGGUAAUGGCCUACCAAGGCGGCGACGGGUAGCCGGCCUGAGAGGGUGGACGGCCACAUUGGGACUGAGAUACGGCCCAGACUCCUACGGGAGGCAGCAGUGGGGAAUAUUGCACAAUGGGCGCAAGCCUGAUGCAGCGACGCCGCGUGGGGGAUGACGGCCUUCGGGUUGUAAACUCCGUUCGCUAGGGACGAAGCUUUUUGUGACGGUACCUAGAUAAGAAGCACCGGCUAACUACGUG